AUUGAACGCUGGCGGCAUGCUUUACACAUGCAAGUCGAACGGCAACAGGCCGCAAGGUGCUGACGAGUGGCGAACGGGUGAGUAAUGCAUCGUAACGUGCCCAGUCGUGGGGGAUAACUACUCGAAAGAGUAGCUAAUACCGCAUACGAUCUAUGGAUGAAAGCGGGGGACCGUAAGGCCUCGCGCGAUUGGAGCGGCCGAUGUCAGAUUAGGUAGUUGGUGGGGUAAAGGCUCACCAAGCCAACGAUCUGUAGCUGGUCUGAGAGGACAACCAGCCACACUGGGACUGAGACACGGCCCAGACUCCUACGGGAGGCAGCAGUGGGGAAUUUUGGACAAUGGGCGCAAGCCUGAUCCAGCAAUGCCGCGUGCAGGAAGAAGGCCUUCGGGUUGUAAACUGCUUUUGUACGGAACGAAACGGCUCUGGUUAAUACCCGGGGCUAAUGACGGUACCGUAAGAAUAAGCACCGGCUAACUACGUG
This 482-nucleotide ribosomal RNA is filed under the name uncultured bacterium. Its description in RNAcentral is "partial 16S ribosomal RNA". It matches the Rfam family "Bacterial small subunit ribosomal RNA", at positions 30 to 507 of the family's 1533-position model. The record is from RNAcentral.